Molecule: ribosomal RNA, 398 nt
Filed under: uncultured bacterium
Lineage: Bacteria
Description: partial 16S ribosomal RNA
Rfam family: Bacterial small subunit ribosomal RNA
Source: RNAcentral
AUACGUAGGGUGCGAGCGUUGUCCGGAAUUACUGGGCGUAAAGAGCUCGUAGGUGGUUUGUCGCGUCGUCUGUGAAAUUCCGGGGCUUAACUCCGGGCGUGCAGGCGAUACGGGCAUAACUUGAGUACUGUAGGGGAGACUGGAAUUCCUGGCGUAGCGGUGAAAUGCGCAGAUAUCAGGAGGAACACCGGUGGCGAAGGCGGGUCUCUGGGCAGUAACUGACGCUGAGGAGCGAAAGCAUGGGUAGCGAACAGGAUUAGAUACCCUGGUAGUCCAUGCCGUAAACGGUGGGCGCUAGGUGUAGGGGUCUUCCACGACUUCUGUGCCGUAGCUAACGCAUUAAGCGCCCCGCCUGGGGAGUACGGCCGCAAGGCUAAAACUCAAAGGAAUUGACGGGG